AAGUAGAAACUAUCUAUUCACAGACACAACAAUUUGAAAGCUGCCUGAUUUUCCUUCUUUAAUAUUCCUCCUUGACUUGGUUUUCAGAUGUUUAUAAUUAGAGCUUUAUUCCUUUGGCACAAAUCAGAUAGCUUUGUGUGGAGUUAAGUUGCCUGGUAGAGCUAAUAGAUAAAGCCAUUGUCAGUCAUUUUUAGGAGUUAAAGUAAAUGAGUCUAUCGUGUCUUUUCCUGAGGGAGAGUUUUACUGAAGGGAUUAUAAAGGAAGAAGUGGGCGUAGGAACCUGAAACACCCCUCUCCCCAGAAUAAGCUGGAUCAAAAGCAUGAACCUGAGGUAACGUGGGACAAAAGCAAAAACGGGGAGAUGAAGAAAGACACAUUUUCCCCACCUCACAAUUUUGCUAGGCUUGGCUGGAUCUUGACCUAUCUUGUCGAUUCCCAGGUCAAACUCUGCUGCCUCGGUUUACUCACAGAAGAAGAACAAGAUUCAGAACAGAAACCACAAGCCUGGUUCCUCAGCAGAGCCAAUCUGGAGAAUAGGAAGGAAGCAUCUAGGGAUGGGGGACGGAGGUUGACUGGUGCCAAAGUGCGUCGGGCUGGAUGGGGUGCAGGACACCAAGAUCUUCAACUCUGGCUCCAGCCUUCCUCUAGACUAGAAUCCUCUAACUGCCCACUAGACAUCUAGGACAUUCCAACACCACUUCCAACUCAAGCCAUCCCAAAUCAACCUUCCGGAUCUUCUUCCUGACUUCCCCUUUGUUUCAGGAGAAACUCUGGGGCUACUUUUGAUUCUAGAGCCUUUUGCCCCGUUGGCCACGUCCAAUGAGUUAGUAAAUUUUGUGGAUUUUUCACCGGCAACUCUUCUUUCCUUCUUUUAUCACAUUCCCUCUUCCAGCUCUCACUGUCUCAAGCUGAGAUCAUUGCAACAGCCUCCCAACAGACUUUUUUUGAAUCCUCUCCUUUUAUCUGCUUAUAAUCCAGCCAAAAUAUCUCCCUGAAGACUCUCCUAAUUGCUUCAACUUUAAGUCGUUUGCAUUUCUUUUGGACCCCUUUGCUGUUUAUGUUCUGCUCCCCUAAUUUUAGCACCUACUGUAUUCCACUGUAUCUUCUAGUUAUCUCUUUAAGCAUAGGUUUUGCUCUUUAACCCAGCUGUACACAGGAACUGGGUCUUAGGCUUGUUACAUCUCUCCCCGUACCCAGAUCUCUGGUAAGCAUGUAAUAGACGCCC
This 1225-nucleotide long non-coding RNA is filed under the name Equus caballus (horse). Its description in RNAcentral is "lncRNA (ENSECAG00000035078.3)". Lineage: Eukaryota; Metazoa; Chordata; Mammalia; Perissodactyla; Equidae. The record is from RNAcentral.